This 1983-nucleotide long non-coding RNA is filed under the name Homo sapiens (human). Its description in RNAcentral is "PREDICTED lncRNA (TCONS_00244206)". The record is from RNAcentral. Lineage: Eukaryota; Metazoa; Chordata; Mammalia; Primates; Hominidae.
CCAUUGCCCAAGCUGAAGUUCAGUGGCACGAACAUGUUUCACUGCAGCCUCAACCUCCUGGGCUCAAGCUGUCCUGCCUCAGCCUCCCGUGUAGCUGGGACCACAAGCACUCGCCAUCACACCUGGAUAAUUUUUUGAUGUUUCAUGGAGACAGUGCUUCACUUUGUUGCCUAUGCUGGUCUUGAACUCCUGGCCUCAAGCAAUCCUUCUGCUUUGGCCUUCCAGAGUGCUGAAAUUACAGGGGAGGAACAGGAAGAGAAGAGUGUGGCCUCCUAGAAAUCUAGCACGGAGAAAGACUGGUCUUGAACUCCUGACCUCGUGAUACUCAGCCUCCCAAAGUGCUGGGAUUACAGGAGUGAACCACCAAGCCCGGCUUGACCUCUUGGCUUUUACCAAAGGAUGUUUGCUUCUGAGGAAGCUGGAAGCUGCAGCCACAAUGUGCCUUUGCAGGGGAGCCUGAGAGCCACAGAUGUUAAGGAGAACUGCAAACCACUGUUCAAUGAAAUAAAAGAGAAUACAAACAAAUGGAACAACAUUCCACGCUCAUGGGUUGGAAGAAUCAAUAUCGUGAAAAUGGCCAUACUGCCCAAGGUAAUUUAUAGAUUCAAUGCCAUCCCCAUCAAGCUACCAAUGACUUUCUUCACAGAAUUGGAAAAAACUACUUUAAAGUUCAUAUGGAACAAAAAAGAGCCCGCAUCGCCAAGUCAAUCCUAAGCCAAAAGAACAAAGCCAGAGGCAUCAUGCUACCUGACUUCAAACUAUACUACAAGGCUACAAUAACCAAAACAGCAUGGUACUGGUACCAAAACAGAGAUAUAGAUCAAUGGAACAGAACAGAGUCCUCAGAAAUAACACCACAUAUCUACAACCAUCUGAUCUUUGACAAACCUGACAAAAACAAGCAGUGGGGAAAGGAUUCCCUAUUUAAUAAAUGGUGCUGGGAAAACUGGCUAGUCAUAUGUAGAAAGCUGAAACUGGAUCCCUUCCUUACACCUUAGACAAAAAUUAAUUCAAGAUGGAUUAAAGACUUACAUGUUAGAACUAAAACCAUAAAAACCCUAGAAGAAAACCUAGGCAAUACCAUUCAGGACAUAGGCAUGGGCAAGGACUUCAUGUCUAAAACACCAAAAGCAAUGGCAACAAAAGCCAAAAUUGACAAACGGGAUCUAACUAAACUAAAGAGCUUCUGCACAGCAAAAGAAACUACCAUCAGACUGAACAGGCAACCUACAAAAUGGGAGAAAAUUUUCGCAACCUACUCAUCCAACAAAGGGCAAAUAUCCAGAAUCUACAAUGAACUCAAAUAAAUUUACAAGAAAAAAACAAACAACCCCAUCAAAAAGUGGGCGGAGGAUAUGAACAGACACUUCUCAAAAGAAGACAUUUAUGCAGCCAAAAAACACAUGAAAAAAUGCUCAUCAUCACUGGCCAUCAGAGAAAUGCAAAUCAAAACCACAAUGAGAUACCAUCUCACACCAGUUAGAAUGGCGAUCAUUAAAAAGUCAGGAAACAACAGGUGCUAGAGAGGAUGUGGAGAAAUAGGAACACUUUUACACUGUUGUUGGGACUCUAAACUAGUUCAACCAUUGUGGAAGUCAGUGUGGCGAUUCCUCAGGGAUCUAGAACUAGAAAUACCAUUUGACCCAGCCAUCCCAUUACUGGGUAUAUACCCAAAGGACUAUAAAUCAUGCUGCUAUAAAGACACAUGCACACGUAUGUUUAUUGCGGCACCAUUCACAAUAGCAAAGACUUGGAACCAACCCAAAUGCCCAACAACGAUAGACUGGAUUAAGAAAAUGUGGCACUUAUACACCAUGGAAUACUAUGCAGCCAUAAAACAUGAUGAAACUGGAAACCAUCAUUCUCAGCAAACUAUCACAAGGACAAAAAACCAAACACCGCAUGUUCUCACUCAUAGGUGGGAAUUGAACAAUGAGAACACAUGGACACAGGAAGGGGAACAUCACACCCCGGGGACUGUUG